GGGCAUGUAGCUCAAUUGGCAGAGCACGGAGCUUAUACCUCCGCGGUUCCUGGUUCAAGUCCAGGCAUGCCCA
Molecule: transfer RNA, 73 nt
Filed under: Candidatus Parcubacteria bacterium
Lineage: Bacteria; Candidatus Parcubacteria
Description: tRNA-Ile
Rfam family: tRNA
About the family: Transfer RNA (tRNA) molecules are approximately 80 nucleotides in length. Their secondary structure includes four short double-helical elements and three loops (D, anti-codon, and T loops). Further hydrogen bonds mediate the characteristic L-shaped molecular structure. tRNAs have two regions of fundamental functional importance: the anti-codon, which is responsible for specific mRNA codon recognition, and the 3' end, to which the tRNAs corresponding amino acid is attached (by aminoacyl-tRNA synthetases). tRNAs cope with the degeneracy of the genetic code in two manners: having more than one tRNA (with a specific anti-codon) for a particular amino acid; and 'wobble' base-pairing, i.e. permitting non-standard base-pairing at the 3rd anti-codon position.
Source: RNAcentral